AACGAACGCUGGCGGCAGGCUUAACACAUGCAAGUCGAACGAGAACGCACCUUCGGGUGUUAUUAAAGUGGCAAACGGGUGAGUAACACGUGGGAAUGUACCUUUUGGCUCGGGACAACAGUUGGAAACGACUGCUAAUACCGAAUAAGCUCUACGGAGGAAAGAUUUAUUGCCGAAAGAUCAGCCCGCGCUAGAUUAGUUUGUUGGUGAGGUAAUGGCUCACCAAGGCUACGAUCUAUAGCUGGUCUGAGAGGAUGAUCAGCCACACUGGGACUGAGAUACGGCCCAG
RNAcentral lists this ribosomal RNA (289 nucleotides) under uncultured bacterium. RNAcentral's name for it is "partial 16S ribosomal RNA". It matches the Rfam family "Bacterial small subunit ribosomal RNA", at positions 29 to 334 of the family's 1533-position model. The record is from RNAcentral.